GUCCAGGAUGAUGGGGCUGCUGGGCCCGAGCAUCGGCCCAGCAGCCGCCAUCUUCGUGCCGCGGGAGGGACAGUCCCUGCUCCGCACACAGGGCCACGCCUCAGCCCGCUGGCGCGGCGCGCGGACAGGGCUUCACCCCUCCCGCCCGGGGGUCACCGGCCCAGCUCCCGGUGCUGUUCAUGGGUCAGCCCUGAGUCGGCGGCCGCCUGCCAGAGAGCGGUGCUGAGGGGCCCCCCGUGGCGUGAAACCCGCGGCCCCAGUGCUGAGGGGCGGCCCGGUCUUCACGGACCCACACUGCUCCCCGUGGCGUGAAACCCGCGGCCCCAGUGCUGGGCAUUGUCUCCACCCCGAAGUGGGGCCCAUGAAAGAGAGGACCUCGUCCACCUCGUCUUUCCAAUACCUAAGUUGUACCUAACUUGUGAACACUGGCAUCAUGAACCGACCGGUCAACGACACACAUCAUGGGGAACUAGGAGUACACAAUCAGGCAGCAGAGAUCCCCACCCUAAAAGCAAAUACUGUACAGUGCAGUGUUAAACUUAAGGGGAGGGGGGAGAUUUGACAAGGAAGAAGUUUAGAGAGACAGCAGAUGAAGAACUAGGAAAGCAAUCAGGCAUCAAUAUUUAUUAAUACAAGACAAAGGAAACACAAUCAAUGCGUUGAUGGAACACUGUCCAGCCAGGUGUUAAAUUUAAAAAUGUAUCUACUCUAAUUUCAAAUAAAUAAAAAACCUUUAUACAUAAUUACAUAA
Caretta caretta (loggerhead turtle) is the source of this 751-nucleotide long non-coding RNA. RefSeq lists it as uncharacterized. The record is from RefSeq and is a predicted model, not a curated record. NCBI's taxonomy places the organism in Eukaryota, Metazoa, Chordata, Testudines, Cheloniidae.